This 492-nucleotide ribosomal RNA is filed under the name uncultured bacterium. RNAcentral's name for it is "partial 16S ribosomal RNA". It matches the Rfam family "Bacterial small subunit ribosomal RNA", at positions 29 to 507 of the family's 1533-position model. The record is from RNAcentral.
AGUGAACGCUGGCGGUAGGCCUAACACAUGCAAGUCGAACGGCAGCACAGUAAGAGCUUGCUCUUACGGGUGGCGAGUGGCGGACGGGUGAGGAAUACAUCGGAAUCUACUUUUUCGUGGGGGAUAACGUAGGGAAACUUACGCUAAUACCGCAUACGACCUACGGGUGAAAGCAGGGGAUCUUCGGACCUUGCGCGAUUGAAUGAGCCGAUGUCGGAUUAGCUAGUUGGCGGGGUAAAGGCCCACCAAGGCGACGAUCCGUAGCUGGUCUGAGAGGAUGAUCAGCCGCACUGGAACUGAGACACGGUCCAGACUCCUACGGGAGGCAGCAGUGGGGAAUAUUGGACAAUGGGCGCAAGCCUGAUCCAGCCAUACCGCGUGGGUGAAGAAGGCCUUCGGGUUGUAAAGCCCUUUUGUCGGGAAAGAAAAGCAGCAGGUUAAUACCCCGCUGUUCUGACGGUACCCAAAGAAUAAGCACCGGCUAACUUCGUG